UAUUCACCUUUUCAAGCACUUUAAAAUGGACCUAAGUUAGGUUUACUGGGGUUCAUUGGUGAUAGCCAUGUGAGCUAAUAACACCUUUUUUUUAAUUAA
Molecule: long non-coding RNA, 99 nt
Organism: Limulus polyphemus (Atlantic horseshoe crab)
Lineage: Eukaryota; Metazoa; Arthropoda; Merostomata; Xiphosura; Limulidae
Exons: 3
Source: RefSeq, a predicted model, not a curated record